GGGCUUAAGUGUGCGUAGGCGGGUCUUUAAGUCAGGGGUGAAUCCUGGAGCUCAACUCCAGAACUGCCUUUGAUACUGAAGAUCUUGAGUUCGGGAGAGGUGAGUGGAACUGCGAGUGUAGAGGUGAAAUUCGUAGAUAUUCGCAAGAACACCAGUGGCGAAGGCGGCUCACUGGCCCCGAUACUGACGCUGAGGCACGAAAGCGUGGGGAGCAAAACAGGAUUAGAUACCCCUGGUAGUCCACGCCGUAAACGAUGAAUGCCAGCCGUUAGUGGGUUUACUCACUAGUGGCGCAGCUAACGCUUUAAGCAUUCCGCCUGGGGAGUACGGUCGCAAGAUUAAAACU
This 346-nucleotide ribosomal RNA is filed under the name uncultured bacterium. Its description in RNAcentral is "bacterial SSU rRNA". It matches the Rfam family "Bacterial small subunit ribosomal RNA", at positions 556 to 901 of the family's 1533-position model. The record is from RNAcentral.